CGGCCCUUCCCGAGGCGGGACUGAGGCUCGGGCCGCCCCUCCAACAUGGCGGCGGCCGAGCAGCAGCCGCCGGCGGCCGAUGGCGGCAAGGCGCUGAGCGCGCUGCUGGGCGGCAUCGCGCAGGCCGCCUACUACGGCAAGGCCGACAUCACGGAGGAGCUGCUGCGCGGGCAGCUCUACCCCGAGGCGGCGCCUGAGGAGUUCCGCGCCCUGCGCGCCAAGAUGGGCGGCCUGCUGCAGUCAAUUGCUUCAGCUGACAUGGAUUUGAAUCAGCUGGAAGCUUUUCUCACUGCCCAAACAAAAAAGCAAGGUGGCAUCACGUCAGAUCAAGCUGCGGUCAUUGCCAAAUUUUGGAAGAACCACCGAGUGAGAAUCCAUGAGAGCCUGGUAAAUCAAAGCCGCUGGGAUUACGUCUUGAAAAGCAUGAACUGGAGAGUGGAUUUGAAGUCGCAGUCAAGACAUGUUGAUCAGAUAAAUACUCCAGUUGCGUUAGUUGAAAUGGAACUGGGAAAAAAUGGUCAGAUAGCUCUGGCAUGAUGGAAACUUGGAAAUGAAGGCAAGGAAACAUCUCCCUAGUGUUUGAUGCCCUGCUACAUGGAGCUGAACAGAACACCGUGCCCAUAUGAGCAAAUUUACAAAGGCAUAUGUAAGACAAAGAAUCUGAAUUUCUCUGCCUGGAGUUUGAUGAGGCCAAGGUGAGCCAGAUGCUGAAGAAACUCUCAGAAAUAGAGGAAAGCAUGACUG
This is an RNA transcript of Phasianus colchicus (ring-necked pheasant), 744 nucleotides long. It is a transcript of the gene named copper metabolism domain containing 1, with no coding region annotated. The record is from RefSeq and is a predicted model, not a curated record. Lineage: Eukaryota; Metazoa; Chordata; Aves; Galliformes; Phasianidae.